Molecule: long non-coding RNA, 926 nt
Filed under: Phoenix dactylifera (date palm)
Lineage: Eukaryota; Viridiplantae; Streptophyta; Magnoliopsida; Arecales; Arecaceae
Description: long non-coding RNA (PDAC_LNC013599)
Source: RNAcentral
UUAGUCGCUGGAUUGGGAUGAAGAAGGGAAGAGAUGAGAAUCAGGUAGGGAAUGCCGAACCAAAAUCUUCCGGAGGGUCGAUAAAGAAGUUGCAGCAGAAGCAGCAGCAGAACGGGCCGAAGCCGCUAUGGUUUGCUCCAGAGUUCGAUGGGCUUCACUGUUUUGAGAUCAUGGUCUCCCACUGAGAAUCCUCUUUUUCAUUAUUUCGUAGCGUCUUUUUAGCUUUUUUUCUUUUUUUUUCCUUCUACUUUUUUUCUUUACCUCUAGGCAACACUUCCAUUGAUUGAUUCUGUUAUCAGUGAAACAAUAUGGUAAUAUCAAGAGUAUUGAUUCUGUAAGGUAUUAAGUUUAAUUAUAGCACGAUUCUUAAUUUCUUUGCUGUCUUCUCGUUUUCAACCUGGAAAUCUAGAACAGGAUUUCUCUCAAGAAAAAUAAAGAGAUUUUUUUUUUUUAUUAGAGAGAACACAUGUCAGUUGCUCGAAUAUUGUAUGACUAAACAUAAUUAUAUGAGCAAAUCUAGCAAUAUUGUAUGACUACAGAGUUUUUGAAAUAUGUAAUAUUUUUUACAAUUUAUUUAGAUAAUCUAACGAAAUUGGGUUGGAUUUUUCAUUGUAUUCUUCAUUGGAUUCAUGGAUUGACCAGCCUAUUUAGGUUGAUAACCUAUAUCAACCCAUUACACCUUAAAAGAGGAAAAAAAAAUCCUUCCACAACAAUUGGAUUGAUAUGGCCAUAUUCCAAUGGGUCGUCCAAUUCAUAAAUCCAUCAAAAAAUCCAGUCCAAUCAUACCGAUUAGUCCUCAAUAUCUUUCUAUGUCUUUAUUUUAGUAUUUUUUUGUUCUUUAAUUUAAUGCUGCAUAAAUUAUUUGUUCUUUAAUUUAUAUUUAGUAGGUUAAAAUAUCUAUAGCAGCAGCCAAUUAAAAACCACAC